GGAUUCGUGGCGCAAUGGUAGCGCGUUUGAUUCCCAAUCAAAAGGUUGCGUGUUCGAUUUACGUUGGGUUCG
Molecule: non-coding RNA, 72 nt
Organism: Cucurbita moschata (crookneck pumpkin)
Lineage: Eukaryota; Viridiplantae; Streptophyta; Magnoliopsida; Cucurbitales; Cucurbitaceae
Source: the annotation of a RefSeq genome assembly